GACGUAGGAUGCAAGCGUUGUCCGGAUUUAUUGGGCGUAAAGAGUUCGUAGGUGGUUUGUUAAGUCUGAUGUUAAAUCCCGAGGCCCAACCUCGGAGCUGCAUUGGAUACUGGCAGACUGGAGUACAGUAGAGGCAAGCGGAAUUCCCAGUGUAGCGGUGAAAUGCGUAGAUAUUGGGAAGAACACCAGUGGCGUAAGCGGCUUGCUGGGCUGUAACUGACACUGAGGAACGAAAGCCAGGGGAGCGAAUGGG
RNAcentral lists this ribosomal RNA (253 nucleotides) under uncultured bacterium. Its description in RNAcentral is "partial 16S ribosomal RNA". It matches the Rfam family "Bacterial small subunit ribosomal RNA", at positions 524 to 776 of the family's 1533-position model. The record is from RNAcentral.